UCCACCAUAAUAUCUCAGUCUCACACCUCGCGGGCUAGCCGUAGUAGUGAUUUGCAGCUCCCGCUGAAGCUGCUGACAGCACCAUUCUGUAAUCGCGCAAAUUUCUCUUCUUCUUCUUCUUCUUCUUCUUCUUCUUCUUCUUCUUCUUCACUUUCAUUGUAAGAGUGUCAUGAAGCAUAGAGGAUCAUCAUCUAGCUUUAGCUGAAAAUAUAAACUUUAACCAGUAGAAGAGCAACAGAAGAGGAAAGCUAAUGGCUUUCUCAACAGCUAAAUUCACAGAACUUCGUCUCCACAAUUCGAUCCAAAUACGCUCACACCAUUCUCUUGGUCUCUUGUUUUCUUCGAAGCCUUCGUUAUCCAUAGUUAGUCGCUUCUCCUCCACUUCUUCUCUCAGAACCAGCGAACGCAGCGACCGUGCUGACGAUCGAUGGAGCCCUAGGAGCAGGCGUUAUCCAUGGGACGAUGACAAUCCUAGAAGAAACCCCACCGUUUCUGACAAAUCCAGGACUCCUUCUGCUCCUUGGCUCAACAAAUGGCCCUCUGUUAACCCUCCUAUCGGAGCUGUCAAUCGAAUUGCCGACUCAGAGAAACAGCGUAAGGUGGAGGACCCGGUGGAGAGUCGAUACUUCGACGGAGAUAAAGGGAGAAGUGCAAUUGAGAGGAUUGCCCAUCGAUUGCGAAAUCUGGGGUUAGGCUCCGAUGAUGAAGACGAGGAGGUUGGUGGGGAGAGUAACGAGGAAAUGCCGCUCAGUGGUGAAGAGAAAUUGGGGGACUUGUUGAAACGGACUUGGAGUAGGCCUGAUUCAAUUCUUCAUGAAGAUGAAGAUGAGAAAGGAAAGAUGCUUUUGCCGUGGGAAAGGGAUGAAGACGACCAGAGCGAGGAAGAGGACGGAAGGGGAUUGAAAAAGAAGAAGAGAGUGAAAGCGCCAACAUUGGCAGAAUUGACAAUUGAGGAUGCAGAGUUGAGGAGGUUGAGGACUCUUGGGAUGACGCUUAGGGAAAGGGUUAAUAUACCGAAAGCAGGUGUUACCCAGGUGAUUCUCGAGAAGAUUCAUGAGAAGUGGAGGAAGUCGGAAUUGGUGAGGCUCAAGUUCCAUGAGACGCUUGCACAUGAUAUGAAGACUGCCCUUGAAAUUGUUGAGCGCCGAACAGGAGGACUGGUUAUAUGGAGAUCAGGAAGCAUUAUGGUGGUGUAUCGGGGAAGUAACUAUGAACCUUUUUCAAGACUUAAGACUGUUGAAAGUGAAGGCAAUGCUCUUUUUGUCCCAGAUGUUUCAUCUUCUGCCAAUUCAAUUUCAAAGAUCAAUAAUGAUAUUAUGUCAGCUCCAGAAAAGAAAGAUCCAGGUGUUCAGAAUCCAAAUCAAGCUGAAAGCAUGACAGAAGAGGAAGCAGAAUAUAACAGCCUGCUAGAUGGGUUAGGUCCUCGCUUUGUUGAUUGGUGGGGUACUGGAAUUUUACCAGUUGAUGCUGACUUGCUUCCUCAAACUAUUCCUAGCUACAAGACACCCUUUAGACUUCUCCCAACAGGAAUGAGACCACGACUGACAAAUGCAGAGAUGACCAAUUUAAGGAAGCUUGCCAAAUCACUUCCUUGUCAUUUUGCCCUUGGGAGAAACAGAAAUCAUCAGGGUUUGGCAGCUGCAAUUGUGAAACUCUGGGAUAAAAGCCUUGUUGCAAAGAUUGCUGUCAAGCGUGGUAUUCAAAAUACAAACAACAAAUUGAUGGCUGAGGAGCUAAAGAAAUUAACAGGUGGUGUCUUACUGCUUAGAAACAAGUAUUACAUUGUCAUAUACCGCGGGAAAGAUUUCCUCCCAACAAGUGUGGCUUUUGCCUUAGCAGAAAGACAGGAAUUGACAAAAGAAAUUCAAGAUGUUGAAGAGAAGGCACGCAGUGGAGCAGUUGUAUCUGCCCAUGUGGAAGAAAUUGGAGGACAAGCACUUGCAGGCACUUUGUCUGAAUAUCGUGAAGCUCAAGCUCGAUGGGGAAGAGAAAUAUCUGCUGAGGAACAUGAAAAGAUGAAAGAAGAAGCUUCAAGGGCCAAGAAUGCCAAGGCAGUCAAGCGAAUAGAACAUAAACUAACUGUUGCACAAGCUAAAAAAUUAAGAGCAGAAAAAUUGUUAGCAAAGAUAGAAAAAUCCAUGGUUCCGGUUGGUCCUUCUGAUGACCAAGAAACAAUUACUGAUGAAGAACGGUUUAUGUUCCGGAGGGUUGGUUUGAGAAUGAAAGCAUAUUUACCUCUUGGCAUACGUGGUGUUUUUGAUGGAGUAAUUGAAAACAUGCACUUACAUUGGAAGCAUAGGGAACUUGUGAAACUGAUAUCCAAGCAGAAGACUCUUUCCUUUGUUGAAGACACAGCAAGGUUGUUAGAGUAUGAGAGUGGUGGCAUAUUGGUAGCAAUUGAAAGAGUCCCUAAAGGUUAUGCUCUUAUUUAUUAUCGUGGAAAGAAUUAUCAACGACCCAUUAGUUUGAGACCAAGGAACCUUCUGACAAAGGCAAAAGCAUUAAAGCGUUCAGUUGCCAUGCAGCGCCAUGAGGCACUCAGUCAGCACAUAACUGAAUUGGAGAGAACAAUUGAGCAGAUGAAAUCAGAAAUUGGUAUGUCUAAAGAUGUAGAUUAUGAAGACACCUGGAGUGAAGAGGAUCCAAGAAGAUUUGAUAAUGUUUCAGCAUUCACUGAGAGUGAAGAUGAAGGUUCCUCUAUGGAGGAUGAUGGUGAUGAGGAUGAUGUGGAUGUUGAGUGGGAAGAUGAUGAUGAGUCAGAUUUUUAGAGAGCUAUUCUAGCCAUGAUCUUUGUAGCAAGGAGAGUUGGAGCAUUUUCUUUUGAAAUUCUUUUCCAAAGCUGCCGAGAAGAAGAAAGUGCUUUCUUCUGGGGCUACAGGACUUCUAAAAUGGUGCUUGCCCCAACUCGCAAUGCGUUCCACACUUGAAGAUUAAGAACCACCAUCGAAUGGCUCCCAUUGUGGACACUAACUUGGUCAGAAGUCAACUUGGAGCAUAUUAUAAUUUAUAAGAUACAUGCUUCUUUUCUCUUUUGUCUAUUAAUGUCUAAAGUACGUAUUUUUACUCCAGAAGAUUUGGGCUGUCGGAAUGAUGUUCUACUUAGAAAGUUCCAGAAGUAAUGCAUUGCUCUGAUGUUUUAGUCAA
Molecule: RNA transcript, 3144 nt
Organism: Nelumbo nucifera (sacred lotus)
Lineage: Eukaryota; Viridiplantae; Streptophyta; Magnoliopsida; Proteales; Nelumbonaceae
Gene name: CRS1 / YhbY (CRM) domain-containing protein
Source: RefSeq, a predicted model, not a curated record